CAGGAACAAUCUGCCAAGACAUCCAUUAGUGUUGGAAGCUUCCCUCAGGCACAUGUAAGUACAAGUUCUGAUGACAUGCCUGUGGCCCAAAACUAUCUGAAUGAUGAUAAAGUGGAGAUCAAAAUCACCGACUUACAUCAGGAUUUGAAAAAAUCAGUUCAAAUUGUCCAAGCUGUUGAGAACUUGGAUGGUGAUAUUGUUGACCAGGUCUCUGCCACCUCUAGCUCAAGUGAAUCAAACAUUCGAAAUAUUGAUGGCAUCAUAGAUCCUAUUCAAGUGGAAGAUUCCCAGAGUUCUGCAUCUCUCAACAUACUAGAUUCUCCCAUUAUAUCUGACAAGUCUACUUCAAGAACCC
Molecule: unclassified non-coding RNA, 355 nt
Filed under: Hevea brasiliensis (rubber tree)
Lineage: Eukaryota; Viridiplantae; Streptophyta; Magnoliopsida; Malpighiales; Euphorbiaceae
Source: RNAcentral